CAAAAGGCCCUUUUCAGGGCCACCUCCUUCCUCACGAAGGGCCGU
Molecule: non-coding RNA, 45 nt
Organism: Callithrix jacchus (white-tufted-ear marmoset)
Lineage: Eukaryota; Metazoa; Chordata; Mammalia; Primates; Cebidae
Source: Rfam